UGCAAGUCGAGCGGAUGACGGGGAGCUUGCUCCCCUGAUUCAGCGGCGGACGGGUGAGUAACACGUGGGCAACCUGCCUGUAAGAUCGGGAUAACUCCGGGAAACCGGGGCUAAUACCGGAUGGUUCCUUCCUCCGCAUGGAGGAAGGCGGAAAGACGGUUUCGGCUGUCACUUACAGAUGGGCCCGCGGCGCAUUAGCUAGUUGGUGGGGUAAUGGCUCACCAAGGCAACGAUGCGUAGCCGACCUGAGAGGGUGAUCGGCCACACUGGGACUGAGACACGGCCCAGACUCCUACGGGAGGCAGCAGUAGGGAAUCUUCCGCAAUGGACGAAAGUCUGACGGAGCAACGCCGCGUGAGCGAAGAAGGCCUUCGGGUCGUAAAGCUCUGUUGUAAGGGAAGAACAAGCGCCGGUUAACUGCCGGCGCCCUGACGGUACCUUACCAGAAAGCCACGGCUAACUACGUGCCAGCAGCCGCGGUAAUACGUAGGUGGCAAGCGUUGUCCGGAAUUAUUGGGCGUAAAGCGCGCGCAGGCGGUUUCUUAAGUCUGAUGUGAAAGCCCACGGCUCAACCGUGGAGGGUCAUUGGAAACUGGGAGACUUGAGUGCAGAAGAGGAAAGCGGAAUUCCACGUGUAGCGGUGAAAUGCGUAGAGAUGUGGAGGAACACCAGUGGCGAAGGCGGCUUUCUGGUCUGUAACUGACGCUGAGGCGCGAAAGCGUGGGGAGCAAACAGGAUUAGAUACCCU
This 748-nucleotide ribosomal RNA is filed under the name Bhargavaea sp. RNAcentral describes it as "bacterial SSU rRNA". It matches the Rfam family "Bacterial small subunit ribosomal RNA", at positions 56 to 788 of the family's 1533-position model. The record is from RNAcentral. Lineage: Bacteria; Bacillati; Bacillota; Bacilli; Caryophanales; Caryophanaceae.